AACGAACGCUGGCGGCAGGCUUAACACAUGCAAGUCGAGCGGGAAUCCUUGUGGUGUCAGCGGCAGACGGGUGAGUAACGCGUGGGAACGUGCCCAUCAGCUCGGCCUAACUCUGGGAAAAUUUACCUGAUACCGGGUACAUGCGAGAGCAGAAAGGUUUAUCUGCUGAGGGCUCGGCCCACGUCUGAUGUGUUAGUUGUUGAGGUUAAGGCUCACCAAGGCGGGGAUCAGUAGUUGGUCGGUGAGGAUGCUCAGCCAGACUGGGACUGAGACAAGACCCAGACUCGUGCGAGAAGCAGCAGUGGGGAAAAAAUGAAAAGGGGGGCAACCCUGAACCAGCGAGGCCGCGAGGGUGAUGAUGGGCUUAGGGUUGUAAUUCGCUUUUCUCGGGGAGUAUAUGGACGUAACCGGAGGAAUAAGCCCCGGCUAAUUGCUG
This 436-nucleotide ribosomal RNA is filed under the name uncultured bacterium. RNAcentral describes it as "partial 16S ribosomal RNA". It matches the Rfam family "Bacterial small subunit ribosomal RNA", at positions 29 to 506 of the family's 1533-position model. The record is from RNAcentral.